CAGGGCAGGCCCUAAAGCUGCCUGGCUAACAUGGCACUGCAGAAGGAACAGCACAUUCACACCACCAGGAUGCUGGGAUCUUAGGGCUGAAGCUGUCCCAGUUUGGGGCCUUGCCCAUUGCAGGCAAGGAACAGGGGCUGAGGGCCAAGGAAGAGGCCGGGAGCCUGGAAACCUCAGUAGAAGAAGGAGCUGCUGCAGAACAUCCUGAUGCUACUGCUGCUCUCACCAGAUUGGUAAUCCUCCCGACAUAAGCUUCGUGAAGAUUAGCUGGACCUGGGAUUGGUGUGCCAGGUUUGUUGGACUACAGUAUGCAAUACCAACUUGAAAGGAGCACUCUAAUACUUCAUGACAACCGGCAAACAAGAUAGCAAGA
Gallus gallus (chicken) is the source of this 373-nucleotide long non-coding RNA. Lineage: Eukaryota; Metazoa; Chordata; Aves; Galliformes; Phasianidae. The record is from Ensembl.